GCUUACGGCCAUACCAGCCUGAAUGCGCCCGAUCUCGUCUGAUCUCGGAAGCUAGGCAGGGUCGGGCCUGGUUAGUACCUGGAUGGGAGACCGCCUGGGAAUACCAGGUGCUGUAAGCU
This 119-nucleotide ribosomal RNA is filed under the name Amphiprion ocellaris (clown anemonefish). The record is from RNAcentral. Lineage: Eukaryota; Metazoa; Chordata; Actinopteri; Pomacentridae.